This 274-nucleotide ribosomal RNA is filed under the name uncultured bacterium. RNAcentral's name for it is "partial 16S ribosomal RNA". It matches the Rfam family "Bacterial small subunit ribosomal RNA", at positions 523 to 796 of the family's 1533-position model. The record is from RNAcentral.
AUACAGAGGGUGCGAGCGUUAAUCGGAAUUACUGGGCGUAAAGCGCGCGUAGGCGGUCUAUUAAGUCAGAUGUGAAAUCCCAGGGCUCAACCUUGGAACUGCAUCUGAUACUGGUAGACUAGAGUUUUGGAGAGGGAAGUAGAAUUUCAGGUGUAGCGGUGAAAUGCAUAGAUAUCUGAAGGAAUACCAGUGGCGAAGGCGGCUUCCUGGCCUAAAACUGACGCUGAGGUGCGAAAGCGUGGGUAGCAAACGGGAUUAGAUACCCCAGUAGUCC